Molecule: ribosomal RNA, 460 nt
Filed under: uncultured bacterium
Lineage: Bacteria
Description: partial 16S ribosomal RNA
Rfam family: Bacterial small subunit ribosomal RNA
Source: RNAcentral
CCUAUGGGCGGCAGCAGUGAGGAAUAUUGGUCAAUGGGCGCGAGCCUGAACCAGCCAAGUAGCGUGAAGGAUGACUGCCCUACGGGUUGUAAACUUCUUUUAUAAAGGAAUAAAGUGAGGCACGUGUGCCUAUUUGUAUGUACUUUAUGAAUAAGGAUCGGCUAACUCCGUGCCAGCAGCCGCGGUAAUACGGAGGAUCCGAGCGUUAUCCGGAUUUAUGGGGGUUAAAGGGAGCGUAGAUGGGUUGUUAAGUCAGUUGUGAAAGUUUGCGGCUCAACCGUAAAAUUGCAAUUGAUACUGGCAGUCUUGAGUACAGUUGAGGUAGGCGGAAUUCGUGGUGUAGCGGUGAAAUGCUUAGAUAUCACGAAGAACUCCGAUUGCGAAGGCAGCUUACUAAACUGCCACUGACAUUGAUGCUCGAAAGUGUGGGUAUCAAACAGGAUUAGAUACCCUAGUAGUC